UACAGAGGUCUCAAGCGUUGUUCGGAUUCAUUGGGCGUAAAGGGUGCGUAGGUGGCGCCGUAAGUCAGGUGUGAAAUUUCGGAGCUUAACUCCGAAACUGCAUUUGAUACUGCGGUGCUUGAGGACUGGAGAGGAGACUGGAAUUUACGGUGUAGCGGUGAAAUGCGUAGAUAUCGUAAGGAAGACCAGUGGCGAAGGCGGGUCUCUGGACAGUUCCUGACGCUGAGGCACGAAGGUCAGGGGAGCAAACGGG
RNAcentral lists this ribosomal RNA (253 nucleotides) under uncultured bacterium. RNAcentral describes it as "partial 16S ribosomal RNA". It matches the Rfam family "Bacterial small subunit ribosomal RNA", at positions 524 to 776 of the family's 1533-position model. The record is from RNAcentral.